ACCCGCACAAGCGGUGGAUGAUGUGGAUUAAUUCGAUGCAACGCGAAAACCUUACCUACCCUUGACAUGUCCGGAAUCCCGAAGAGAUUUGGGAGUGCUCGCAAGAGAACCGGAACACAGGUGCUGCAUGGCUGCCGUCAGCUCGUGUCGUGAGAUGUUGGGUUAAGUCCCGCAACGAGCGCAACCCUUGUCAUUAGUUGCCAUCAUUUGGUUGGGCACUCUAAUGAGACUGCCGGCGACAAACCGGAGGAAGGUGGGGAUGACGUCAAGUCCUCAUGGCCCUUAUGGGUAGGGCUUCACACGUCAUACAAUGGUCGGUACAGAGGGUUGCCAACCCGCGAGGGGGAGCUAAUCCCACAAAGCCGAUCGUAGUCCGGAUCGCAGUCUGCAACUCGACUGCGUGAAGUCGGAAUCGCUAGUAAUCCGUGGAUCAGCAUGUCACGGUGAAUACGUUCCCGGGUCUU
Molecule: ribosomal RNA, 464 nt
Filed under: uncultured Rhodocyclaceae bacterium
Lineage: Bacteria; Pseudomonadati; Pseudomonadota; Betaproteobacteria; Rhodocyclales; Rhodocyclaceae
Description: bacterial SSU rRNA
Rfam family: Bacterial small subunit ribosomal RNA
Source: RNAcentral